Molecule: ribosomal RNA, 1788 nt
Filed under: Triticum aestivum (bread wheat)
Lineage: Eukaryota; Viridiplantae; Streptophyta; Magnoliopsida; Poales; Poaceae
Description: partial small subunit ribosomal RNA
Source: RNAcentral
AUGGCAGCAUUGUCCACCGGCGCCUCCUCGUCGUCGCAGGCAAUGGUGGUACCCCGCCAGGGCUUCUCCACUGAAGCGUCUUCCUCCUCGCCCUCGUCGUAAUGGGCUAGCCAGGCCCGAACGAAAGCCCCUUUUUCUACUAGUGACGUGCUUAACCUGGACUCGCCGUGGGUGGCGGCGGCCGAGGCGGAAUCUAGGCUGCAGGAGGCCGCCACUACGGAGAGAAUUCACCUUCGCGCCGAGCAGGAGGAAGAAGAGGGGAUAAGAGUCAACCAAGAGCGACAGCAGGACGAGCUGAUGGCAUUGGAAGCAAUAUAUGGGGAUGAUCUGGUUGAAUUUGGCAAAAAAGGAGGGCUCGACUGCUUCCAGAUCUACAUACACUAUGACUUGCAUCAUGGCGCUCAAGUGUGCGCUAAGUUUUCUUCUGCCGACGGAGAAUGCCCCCAUAAUGGUACAGAAGAUGAUGGUGAUGAACCAGAGGAAUACUCUUGCACAUGCAACCUUGACUACUUGCCUCCAUUAGUAUUGACAUGCUUACUUCCACAGUCGUAUCCUAGCAAAGACCCCCCAUAUUUUACAAUCACUGCCAAAUGGAUGGAUGGAUCUCAAGUUUCUCAGAUAUGUGCGAUGCUCGACGAUAUCUGGGCACAACUCCCAGGGCAGGAAGUGGUAUAUCAGUGGGUUGAGUGGAUCCGCAAUUCGUCACUGUCACACCUCUGGAUUGAUGGCAAAAUAAUAUUAGGUCUAGAGAGUCGAGCGAAGAAACCAGAUAACCGUGCUAUCUCAAGAGGCCUCCCACUGGAUUAUCUAAUCCCUUCGAUGCUCAGAUACAGUAGUAAGAAGCGUCGUAAAGCUUUUCUUGAAGAUCUUCAUAUGUGCAUGAUAUGCCUUAACGAGAGCAAUGGUUCAAACUUCAUCCAGCUGCCAUGUGAGCACUUGUUUUGUGUCAAGUGCAUGGAGACCUUAUGCAGGAUGCAUGUGAAGGAAGGUAGUGUGUUUCGAUUGGUGUGCCCCGACACCAACUGCAACUCUUCUAUUCCAUCACAUCUACUAAAGAAUCUUCUUAGGGAAGAAGAAUUUGAACGCUGGGAUAGGCUUGUUCUUGAGAAAGCAUUGGCCUCGAUGUCAGACGUUGUUUACUGUCCAAGGCGUGGGAUUGCUUGCUUGGCCGACGAGGAUAAUAGUGUGCAAUGUCCAAAAUGUUCCUUUACAUUCUGCUCAGUUUGCAAGGACCCGCGCCAUCCGGGGAAACCGUAUUUAAUUCCAGAACAAAAGCUCCAGCAGCGGCAGGCAUCAGGCAAGUUAACUGCGAGGGAGAUGGUGCAGGAAAUGCUAAUGAUCAGAAAGCUGUACAAGGAUGCUAGAGCAUGCCCAUACUGCCGAGUGGCCAUUAUCAAAACCGAAGGGUGCAACCACAUGUAUUGUGUGAACUGUGGUAAGUCAUUCUGCUUCCGUUGUGGCAAGGCCUUGGGUGGUGGCACUUUUGAUCAUUUGAGCAAAUGCGGGAUGUAUGCGCAACGAGAAGAUGACACAAAUGAUUUGCAGAAGCGACUCAAAGAACUACAAACGAUGGAACGAAGGGCUCGAAAGCACUCGGUAGGUAGCACCGUAGAAUGCCCAAAAUGCCAUCGGAAAAUUUACAAGGAUGAUGAUGAAUAUAUUUACUGCUGGCAUUGCCAAGCCAGGUAUUGUACGCUGUGCCAGAAGCAGGUCCAGUUUACAAAGCAACAUGGGGCAGGGGGGCACUGGGGAUCACCGGAAUGCGUGGGGCUAGCCAAUGUGUUAUAA